Molecule: ribosomal RNA, 279 nt
Filed under: uncultured bacterium
Lineage: Bacteria
Description: partial 16S ribosomal RNA
Rfam family: Bacterial small subunit ribosomal RNA
Source: RNAcentral
UGCCAGCCGCCGCGGUAAUACGAAUGGAGCGAGCGUUGUUCGGAAUCAUUGGGCGUAAAGCGUAUGUAGGCGGACUAGAAAGUCGGGAGUGAAAUCCCAGGGCUCAACCCUGGAAUUGCUUCCGAAACUUCUAGUCUAGAGUCCCGGAGAGGUGAGGGGAAUUCCGAGUGUAGAGGUGAAAUUCGUAGAUAUUGGGAAGAACACCAGUGGCGAAGGCGGCUAACUGGCUCGGUACUGACGCUGAGAUGCGAAAGCGUGGGGAGCAAACAGGAUUAGAUA